This 275-nucleotide long non-coding RNA is filed under the name Ananas comosus (pineapple). RNAcentral describes it as "long non-coding RNA (ACOM_LNC004715)". The record is from RNAcentral. Lineage: Eukaryota; Viridiplantae; Streptophyta; Magnoliopsida; Poales; Bromeliaceae.
CUUCCUUCGGGAUUGCAGGUUGAAUGCGUUACAUGCAGUGAGAAAGUACGUUGAAAAAAUAUUCUAUUUAUUUUUGUAAUAUUAUGUUCUGUAUAUCGCGAUGAGUCGAUUAUAUAUAUUUUUGAUUCUAUUGGAGAAUGCAGAAAUAUAUUUCUAUAUAUUUUUUUUUCAACUCUAUUUUAUCUAAUAGUGUUAGAUAAAUCUCAAUACCAAAUUAAGUUUAAAUAAAGUUUAACGGUAUGAAAAAUUUUAAAAACUUUAUUUAGAGCCAAACA